Molecule: RNase P RNA, 395 nt
Filed under: Segatella copri
Lineage: Bacteria; Pseudomonadati; Bacteroidota; Bacteroidia; Bacteroidales; Prevotellaceae
Description: RNase P RNA component class A
Rfam family: Bacterial RNase P class A
About the family: Ribonuclease P (RNase P) is a ubiquitous endoribonuclease, found in archaea, bacteria and eukarya as well as chloroplasts and mitochondria. Its best characterised activity is the generation of mature 5'-ends of tRNAs by cleaving the 5'-leader elements of precursor-tRNAs.
Source: RNAcentral
GCAGUGCUCCGGUCUGUCGCUGGCAUCUUUCAGGUGCGAGAGGAAAGUCCGGGCAGCAUAGAGCAUCCCACUUCCGAAACUAGAAGCUAUUGGUGACAGUAGGUGUCGGUAGAAGAAAAUAACCGCUCCCCCCGCUUUCCCAUGGUGGGGGUGAUAGUAAGGGUGAGAAGGUGGUGUAAGAGACCACCAGCUGGCGGGUGAUCGCCAGGCUGUACCAUCUGGGAGCUGUAAGCUCAUGUAUACCGCAGAUUGAGGGCGGCUCGUCCGAUUGCCUUAGGGCUGCUGCGGAGGGUAGAGUGCUUGAGCCCAAGGGUGACUUUGGGACUAGAUAAAUGACAGACGUUCCUAUAGCCGAUAUAGGAACACAGAACUCGGCUUACAGGGGCACUGCUUUU